Molecule: ribosomal RNA, 725 nt
Filed under: uncultured bacterium
Lineage: Bacteria
Description: bacterial SSU rRNA
Rfam family: Bacterial small subunit ribosomal RNA
Source: RNAcentral
AGUCGAACGGUAACAGGUCUUCGGAUGCUGACGAGUGGCGAACGGGUGAGUAAUACAUCGGAACGCGCCCGAUCGUGGGGGAUAACGAGGCGAAAGCUUUGCUAAUACCGCAUACGAUCUACGGAUGAAAGCGGGGGAUCUUCGGACCUCGCGCGGACGGAGCGGCCGAUGGCAGAUUAGGUAGUUGGUGGGAUAAAAGCUUACCAAGCCGACGAUCUGUAGCUGGUCUGAGAGGAUGAUCAGCCACACUGGGACUGAGACACGGCCCAGACUCCUACGGGAGGCAGCAGUGGGGAAUUUUGGACAAUGGGCGAAAGCCUGAUCCAGCCAUGCCGCGUGCAGGAUGAAGGCCUUCGGGUUGUAAACUGCUUUUGUACGGAACGAAAAGCCUCUUUCUAAUAAAGAGGGGUCAUGACGGUACCGUAAGAAUAAGCACCGGCUAACUACGUGCCAGCAGCCGCGGUAAUACGUAGGGUGCAAGCGUUAAUCGGAAUUACUGGGCGUAAAGCGUGCGCAGGCGGUUUUGUAAGACAGAGGUGAAAUCCCCGGGCUCAACCUGGGAACUGCCUUUGUGACUGCAAGGCUGGAGUGCGGCAGAGGGGGAUGGAAUUCCGCGUGUAGCAGUGAAAUGCGUAGAUAUGCGGAGGAACACCGAUGGCGAAGGCAAUCCCCUGGGCCUGCACUGACGCUCAUGCACGAAAGCGUGGGGAGCAAACAGGAUUAGA